UACAGAGGGGGCAAGCGUUGUUCGGAAUUACUGGGCGUAAAGGGCGCGUAGGCGGCCUUCUAAGUCGAACGUGAAAUCCCCGGGCUCAACCCGGGAACUGCGUCCGAUACUGAAAGGCUUGAAUCCGGGAGAGGGAUGCGGAAUUCCAGGUGUAGCGGUGAAAUGCGUAGAUAUCUGGAGGAACACCGGUGACGAAGGCGGCAUCCUGGACCGGCAUUGACGCUGAGGCGCGAAAGCCAGGGGAGCAAACGGG
RNAcentral lists this ribosomal RNA (253 nucleotides) under uncultured bacterium. RNAcentral describes it as "partial 16S ribosomal RNA". It matches the Rfam family "Bacterial small subunit ribosomal RNA", at positions 524 to 776 of the family's 1533-position model. The record is from RNAcentral.